Long non-coding RNA from Stegostoma tigrinum, 669 nucleotides. RefSeq lists it as uncharacterized. The record is from RefSeq and is a predicted model, not a curated record. The transcript has 6 exons. NCBI's taxonomy places the organism in Eukaryota, Metazoa, Chordata, Chondrichthyes, Orectolobiformes, Stegostomatidae.
GGAAAUACAUGGAGUCAGACAAGUGAAAGCCCUUUUCAGGGAGUUCGGUGAAGCAUGCCCAUAGUUUUUUUCCCUAAUGUAGUAUCUAUUGUUAGGUAAUGAUGUUCCAGGUGUGGAAUUAGCCUUCGGGGACUCAGGCUGAGUGAAGAAAAGCAAAGGGAAAACUGAACCACAGAAACCAUCGAGCUACUAUUUCUCUUGUCUAAGGUUACAACUCCUGAGAAGAGAUCAAUCCCUCUGAAGUACCCUAAUUGAGGAUCAAUGCAGACCAAGGAUCAACUCAGACACUUGCCUGACAGGGGCAUCAGUUUUAUGCUGUACUGAUUCCUUCUGGCAUCUGCAGGAUUGCUGCUUUUCAUGUGAGCCAAGAUGCUGCCAGACCUGAUGAGCUUUCCCAGCAACUUCAGUUAUUGUUCCUGAUUUACAGCAUCUGCAGUUCUUUUCGUUUUUAUGGACUAUAUCUUGUUAAUUUUAGGAGAGCCCUCAAGUUAGACAAUUUUCCCCUACUCCUCAUAUGAAUGAGGUGAUGCUUCAUGUAUUACGGGGCCACGAACGCCAGAUGGUUUCCGGAUUCACACCCAUGUGAACCUUGACUGACAACAGUGCAAAGAGAAAGCUCUUGGUCCAAAAAAAUCCAAGCUAUCAAAUUUCAAGCAGGAUAAAUCAGAG